This 71-nucleotide transfer RNA is filed under the name Inonotus hispidus. RNAcentral's name for it is "tRNA-Val". It matches the Rfam family "tRNA". From Rfam's summary of the family: Transfer RNA (tRNA) molecules are approximately 80 nucleotides in length. RNAcentral also lists the same sequence under 1 other name. Lineage: Eukaryota; Fungi; Basidiomycota; Agaricomycetes; Hymenochaetales; Hymenochaetaceae. The record is from RNAcentral.
GGGGAGUUAGCUGAGUGGUUUAGCGAUAAAUUUACACUUUAUUGACAGAGUUUCGAUUACUCUACUCCCUA